Molecule: non-coding RNA, 121 nt
Organism: Gossypium raimondii (Peruvian cotton)
Lineage: Eukaryota; Viridiplantae; Streptophyta; Magnoliopsida; Malvales; Malvaceae
Source: Rfam
UAUUAAAACUUUAAUCAAUUUAUACUAUUAAAAAUUGGCGUGACGUGGGGUGCCACGUAUAUCUCAUGCUGAUAUAUGGGAUCGACAUUUUUAACAAUAAAAAUAAAUGAAAUUUUUAACA